CUUAAGCAUAUCAAUAAGCGGAGGAAAAGAAACCAACAGGGAUUGCCCUAGUAACGGCGAGUGAAGCGGCAACAGCUCAAAUUUGAAAUCUGGCGCAAGCCCGAGUUGUAAUUUGUAGAGGAUGCUUCUAGGUAGCGACCGGUCUAAGUUCCUUGGAACAGGACGUCAUAGAGGGUGAGAAUCCCGUAUGUGACCGGCCCGCACCUUCCACGUAGCUCCUUCGACGAGUCGAGUUGUUUGGGAAUGCAGCUCUAAAUGGGAGGUAAAUUUCUUCUAAAGCUAAAUACCGGCCAGAGACCGAUAGCGCACAAGUAGAGUGAUCGAAAGAUGAAAAGCACUUUGGAAAGAGAGUUAAAAAGCACGUGAAAUUGUUGAAAGGGAAGCGCUCACAACCAGACUUCUGGGCGGUGUUCCGCCGGUCUUCUGACCGGUCUACUCACCGUCCCGAGGCCAACAUCAUCUGGGACCGCUGGAUAAGACCUCAGGAAUGUAGCUUCCCUCGGGAAGUGUUAUAGCCUGUGGUGAUGCAGCGCGUCUCGGGUGAGGUCCGCGCUUCGGCAAGGAUGUUGGCGUAAUGGUUGUCAGCGGCCCGUCUUGAAACACGGACCAAGGAGUCUAACAUCUAUGCGAGUGUUCGGGUGUCAAACCCCUACGCGUAAUGAAAGUGAACGGAGGUGGGAAGCGCAAGCUGCACCAUCGACCGAUCCUGAUGUCCUCGGAUGGAUUUGAGUAAGAGCAUAGCUGUUGGGACCCGAAAGAUGGUGAACUAUGCCUGAAUAGGGUGAAGCCAGAGGAAACUCUGGUGGAGGCUCGCAGCGGUUCUGACGUGCAAAUCGAUCGUCAAAUUUGGGUAUA
RNAcentral lists this ribosomal RNA (855 nucleotides) under Ramularia sp. A JZG-2016. Its description in RNAcentral is "eukaryotic LSU rRNA". It matches the Rfam family "Eukaryotic large subunit ribosomal RNA", at positions 33 to 919 of the family's 3401-position model. The record is from RNAcentral. Lineage: Eukaryota; Fungi; Ascomycota; Dothideomycetes; Mycosphaerellales; Mycosphaerellaceae.